CGUAAUAGCUCACUGGUCGAGUCGGCCUGCGCGGAAGAUGUAACGGGGCUAAACCAUGCACCGAAGCUGCGGCAGCGACGCUGAUGCGUUGUUGGGUAGGGGAGCGUUCUGUAAGCCUGCGAAGGUGUGUCGUGAGGCAUGCUGGAGGUAUCAGAAGUGCGAAUGCUGACAUAAGUAACGAUAAAGCGGGUGAAAAGCCCGCUCGCCGGAAGACCAAGGGUUCCUGUCCAACGUUAAUCGGGGCAGGGUGAGUCGACCCCUAAGGCGAGGCCGAAAGGCGUAGUCGAUGGGAAACGGGUUAAUAUUCCCGUACUUGGUGUUACUGCGAAGGGGGGACGGAGAAGGCUAUGUUGGCCGGGCGACGGUUGUCCCGGUUUAAGCGUGUAGGCUGGUUUUCCAGGCAAAUCCGGAAAAUCAAGGCUGAGGCGUGACGACGAGGCACUACGGUGCUGAAGCAACAAAUGCCCUGCUUCCAGGAAAAGCCUCUAAGCAUCAGGUAACAUCAAAUCGUACCCCAAACCGACACAGGUGGUCAGGUAGAGAAUACCAAGGCGCUUGAGAGAACUCGGGUGAAGGAACUAGGCAAAAUGGUGCCGUAACUUCGGGAGAAGGCACGCUGACAUGUAGGUGAAGUGAUUUACUCAUGGAGCUGAAGUCAGUCGAAGAUACCAGCUGGCUGCAACUGUUUAUUAAAAACACAGCACUGUGCAAACACGAAAGUGGACGUAUACGGUGUGACGCCUGCCCGGUGCCGGAAGGUUAAUUGAUGGGGUCAGCGCAAGCGAAGCUCCUGAUCGAAGCCCCGGUAAACGGCGGCCGUAACUAUAACGGUCCUAAGGUAGCGAAAUUCCUUGUCGGGUAAGUUCCGACCUGCACGAAUGGCGUAAUGAUGGCCAGGCUGUCUCCACCCGAGACUCAGUGAAAUUGAACUCGCUGUGAAGAUGCAGUGUACCCGCGGCAAGACGGAAAGACCCCGUGAACCUUUACUAUAGCUUGACACUGAACAUUGAGCCUUGAUGUGUAGGAUAGGUGGGAGGCUUUGAAGCGUGGACGCCAGUCUGCGUGGAGCCGACCUUGAAAUACCACCCUUUAAUGUUUGAUGUUCUAACGUGGACCCGUGAUCCGGGUUGCGGACAGUGUCUGGUGGGUAGUUUGACUGGGGCGGUCUCCUCCUAAAGAGUAACGGAGGAGCACGAAGGUUGGCUAAUCCUGGUCGGACAUCAGGAGGUUAGUGCAAUGGCAUAAGCCAGCUUGACUGCGAGCGUGACGGCGCGAGCAGGUGCGAAAGCAGGUCAUAGUGAUCCGGUGGUUCUGAAUGGAAGGGCCAUCGCUCAACGGAUAAAAGGUACUCCGGGGAUAACAGGCUGAUACCGCCCAAGAGUUCAUAUCGACGGCGGUGUUUGGCACCUCGAUGUCGGCUCAUCACAUCCUGGGGCUGAAGUAGGUCCCAAGGGUAUGGCUGUUCGCCAUUUAAAGUGGUACGCGAGCUGGGUUUAGAACGUCGUGAGACAGUUCGGUCCCUAUCUGCCGUGGGCGCUGGAGAACUGAGGGGGGCUGCUCCUAGUACGAGAGGACCGGAGUGGACGCAUCACUGGUGUUCGGGUUGUCAUGCCAAUGGCACUGCCCGGUAGCUAAAUGCGGAAGAGAUAAGUGCUGAAAGCAUCUAAGCACGAAACUUGCCCCGA
This 1685-nucleotide ribosomal RNA is filed under the name Salmonella enterica subsp. enterica serovar Florida. RNAcentral's name for it is "partial 23S ribosomal RNA". It matches the Rfam family "Bacterial large subunit ribosomal RNA", at positions 1133 to 2802 of the family's 2925-position model. The record is from RNAcentral. Lineage: Bacteria; Pseudomonadati; Pseudomonadota; Gammaproteobacteria; Enterobacterales; Enterobacteriaceae.